GGUUGAUCCUGCCAGUAGUCAUAUGCUUGUCUCAACGAUUAAGCCAUGCAUGUCUAAGUAUAAAUAAAUUUAUAUUGUGAAACUGCGAAUGGCUCAUUAAAUCAGUUAUGAUCUACGUGACAUAUUUCUUUACUACUUGGAUAACCGUGGUAAUUCUAGAGCUAAUACAUGCAAAAAAGCCCUGACUUCGGAAGGGGUGCACUUAUUAGAUAAAGCCAACGCUGGGUAAAACCAGUUUUCCUUGGUGAUUCAUAAUAAUUUAGCGGAUCGCAUGGCCUUGUGCUGGCGACGG
This 292-nucleotide ribosomal RNA is filed under the name uncultured eukaryote. RNAcentral describes it as "partial 18S ribosomal RNA". It matches the Rfam family "Eukaryotic small subunit ribosomal RNA", at positions 6 to 293 of the family's 1831-position model. The record is from RNAcentral.